GUGCAAGGGCAAAUGGAAAUCAUGGACAGAGAUUGGGUUGAUGUGUAUUGUUGGACACCAAACGGGAGCGCAAUAUUCCGUGUCUACCGAGAGCGGAGUUACUGGGAGUUAAUGCAUGGAAUUUUAUGGGAAUUUUGGUGGGAUAAUGUGGUUCCUGCUAGAGAAGCUCUUAUAAUGGGAAAUGAAGAGGGUGCCACAGCCUAUAAACCAACAUCAACACACAAAAAAACAGGACUUGUCAUUUCAAGAAGCU
Molecule: unclassified non-coding RNA, 253 nt
Filed under: Hevea brasiliensis (rubber tree)
Lineage: Eukaryota; Viridiplantae; Streptophyta; Magnoliopsida; Malpighiales; Euphorbiaceae
Source: RNAcentral